This 253-nucleotide ribosomal RNA is filed under the name uncultured bacterium. RNAcentral describes it as "partial 16S ribosomal RNA". It matches the Rfam family "Bacterial small subunit ribosomal RNA", at positions 524 to 776 of the family's 1533-position model. The record is from RNAcentral.
UACGAAGGGGGCUAGCGUUGCUCGGAAUGACUGGGCGUAAAGGGCGCGUAGGCGGCUCAUACAGUCAGAUGUGAAAUUCCUGGGCUUAACCUGGGGGCUGCAUUUGAUACGUGUGGGCUUGAGUGGGGAAGAGGGUCGUGGAAUUCCCAGUGUAGAGGUGAAAUUCGUAGAUAUUGGGAAGAACACCGGUGGCGAAGGCGGCUCACUGGCCCGAUACUGACGCUGAGGCACGAAAGCGUGGGGAGCAAACAGG